UAGAGGAUCCCCUCCUGGCUCAGGAUGAACGCUGGCGGCGUGCCUAAUACAUGCAAGUCGAGCGAAUGGAUUAAGAGCUUGCUCUUAUGAAGUUAGCGGCGGACGGGUGAGUAACACGUGGGUAACCUGCCCAUAAGACUGGGAUAACUCCGGGAAACCGGGGCUAAUACCGGAUAACAUUUUGAACUGCAUGGUUCGAAAUUGAAAGGCGGCUUCGGCUGUCACUUAUGGAUGGACCCGCGUCGCAUUAGCUAGUUGGUGAGGUAACGGCUCACCAAGGCAACGAUGCGUAGCCGACCUGAGAGGGUGAUCGGCCACACUGGGACUGAGACACGGCCCAGACUCCUACGGGAGGCAGCAGUAGGGAAUCUUCCGCAAUGGACGAAAGUCUGACGGAGCAACGCCGCGUGAGUGAUGAAGGCUUUCGGGUCGUAAAACUCUGUUGUUAGGGAAGAACAAGUGCUAGUUGAAUAAGCUGGCACCUUGACGGUACCUAACCAGAAAGCCACGGCUAACUACGUGCCAGCAGCCGCGGUAAUACGUAGGUGGCAAGCGUUAUCCGGAAUUAUUGGGCGUAAAGCGCGCGCAGGUGGUUUCUUAAGUCUGAUGUGAAAGCCCACGGCUCAACCGUGGAGGGUCAUUGGAAACUGGGAGACUUGAGUGCAGAAGAGGAAAGUGGAAUUCCAUGUGUAGCGGUGAAAUGCGUAGAGAUAUGGAGGAACACCAGUGGCGAAAGCGACUUUCUGGUCUGUAACUGACACUGAGGCGCGAAAGCGUGGGGAGCAACAGGAUUAGAUACCCUGGUAGUCCACGCCGUAACGAUGAGUGCUAAGUGUUAGAGGGNUUCCGCCCUUUAGUGCUGAAGUUAACGCAUUAGCACUCCNCUGGGGAGUACGNNCAAGGCUGAACUCANGNNUGACGGGGCCGCNNAGCGNGAGCAUGUGUUUAUCGAGCACGCGAGACUACAGUCUGANUCUCUGAANCUANANANNGNUUCUCCUUNNNNCAANGNCNGUGGNGCAUGNNNUC
Molecule: ribosomal RNA, 1029 nt
Filed under: Bacillus sp. PS1
Lineage: Bacteria; Bacillati; Bacillota; Bacilli; Caryophanales; Bacillaceae
Description: partial 16S ribosomal RNA
Rfam family: Bacterial small subunit ribosomal RNA (bases 5-886)
Source: RNAcentral